Molecule: ribosomal RNA, 301 nt
Filed under: uncultured bacterium
Lineage: Bacteria
Description: partial 16S ribosomal RNA
Rfam family: Bacterial small subunit ribosomal RNA
Source: RNAcentral
CAGUCGCCGCGGGAAUACGUAGGUGGCAAGCGUUGUCCGGAAUUAUUGGGCGUAAAGGACUCGCAGGCGGUUUCUUAAGUCUGAUGUGAAAGCCCCCGGCUCAACCGGGGAGGGUCAUUGGAAACUGGGAAACUUGAGUGCAGAAGAGGAGAGUGGAAUUCCACGUGUAGCGGUGAAAUGCGUAGAGAUGUGGAGGAACACCAGUGGCGAAGGCGACUCUCUGGUCUGUAACUGACGCUGAGGAGCGAAAGCGUGGGGAGCGAACAGGAUUAGAUACCCCCGUAGUCCCUGUCUCUUAUAC